GUGGGGAAUUUUGGACAAUGGGGGCAACCCUGAUCCAGCCAUUCCGCGUGAGUGAAGAAGGCCUUCGGGUUGUAAAGCUCUUUCGGCAGGAACGAAACGGUGAGCUCUAACAUAGCUCGCUAAUGACGGUACCUGAAGAAGAAGCACCGGCUAACUACGUGCCAGCAGCCGCGGUAAUACGUAGGGUGCGAGCGUUAAUCGAAAUUACUGGGCGUAAAGCGUGCGCAGGCGGUUGUGUAAGACAGGUGUGAAAUCCCCGGGCUUAACCUGGGAACUGCGCUUGUGACUGCACGGCUAGAGUAUGGCAGAGGGGGGUGGAAUUCCACGUGUAGCAGUGAAAUGCGUAGAGAUGUGGAGGAACACCGAUGGCGAAGGCAGCCCCCUGGGCCAAUACUGACGCUCAUGUACGAAAGCGUGGGGAGCAAACAGGAUUAGAAACCCUGGUAGUCC
RNAcentral lists this ribosomal RNA (450 nucleotides) under uncultured bacterium. RNAcentral's name for it is "partial 16S ribosomal RNA". It matches the Rfam family "Bacterial small subunit ribosomal RNA", at positions 354 to 796 of the family's 1533-position model. The record is from RNAcentral.